Molecule: unclassified non-coding RNA, 240 nt
Filed under: soil metagenome
Description: partial contains 5.8S ribosomal RNA, internal transcribed spacer 2, and large subunit ribosomal RNA
Source: RNAcentral
AACAAGGCGUACCUGCGGACCUGCGGAAGGAUCAUUACCGAGUUAGGGUGUCGACUCUUCGCGCCCGACCUCCAACCCUUUGUCUACUUAACCAAACGUUGCUUCGGCAGGCCCGCCGGGACGCUUCACUGCGGCCUGGCCGCCGGGGGCUUCACGACCCCGGGCCCGCGCCUGUCGAUGGCCCCCCAUAAACUCUUGAUAAAACGUGUCGUCUGAGUCUUAUGAUUAAAAAUCAAAACA